CCCGUUCCAAAGUAAUGGGAAAAGAAGUAAGGAUCAAAUGGCUAUUGGAUGCAAUGUUGGGGAUUAAAUUCCAUACUUCAAAAAUUUAAGGACUUGAAGUGAAGUAAAGAAAUACAUGAGUAGGAAAAUUAAUUAAAUUCGAGGAUUAAAGUAUAUUAAUGGAAUGAAGCGGAGCCUUGGAAGAUAAAUUACAAUUAACUGGGCCUAGACCAGUUGCAAUGGAUGAUAAGUGUAAAGGGAUUUGAUUCUUGUUUGUAGACAAAAAGUGGGCGCCUGAAUUUGAAUAAAAAGUACCACUCCACUUGGACUCCUUUUUUCAACAAAAAUGUAGCAACUGUGGGGGAAUUAAAGAGGAAUUAUACAUACGCGCAUACACACUGAGAGGAAGAAGGUGGCAGCUAAAAAUUGAGGCAAAAGACAAACACACAGGCACAAUUGGAGGAGUUUUUGGGCGGUUGAAUUGGAAAAAAUUGGAUUUUCAGGGUUUAAAAAAGGAGCUAUCGGUGGACAUUGGAAUUAAGAAAUGGAGAUAUACGGAAAAACGGCAGCAUUUGUGAAUCAUUCUAGAUUUUUUGCGCGAUAAUCAAUUGAAGAUUUGUCAUACUAUGGAAUGAGCUCCAAUUCGUUGCUUUGUUUCACAAACCAAUUCAAUCAACAUGGUGUCACCACUUCGGAAAAUUUGUCAAAUUGGUGGGGAACUUGCCAUUACUUGGAGCAUUUCUUGCUGAUGCAUAUUUUGGAAGAUAUUGGACUAUUGCAAGUAUUUUAUCAUCCAUGUUAUCGGAAUGUAUCAGCAACAGUCCCUGGCAACCUGAUCGAAGAAAGAUGUCUGUCUCUGCAACACAUGCUCAAACAACUGUCUGUUUUCUUGCAUUCUAUCUGCUAGCACUUGGAACCGGUGGGAUUAAGCCAUUUGUCUCAUCCUACGGUGCAGAUCAAUUUGAUGACACUCAUGAGGCUGAAAAGAAGUUCAAAAGUUCUUUCUUCAGUUGGUUCCAUUUUUCAAUCAAUAUUGGGUGCACUCAUAGCCUUUUCUAUGCUAGUUUGGUUACAAGUUAACAUUGGUUGGAGAUAAGGAUUUGGUAUUCCUGCUGUGGCUAUGGCAAUACGUGUGACCUUUUUCUUUUCGGGUACUCGAUUAUAUCAGUACCAGAAACCCGGUGGCAACCUUCUUACUCGUCUCUGCAAGGUGGUGGUAGCCGCCCUGAGAAGAACCCGAGUUGUGAUACCUGAUGGCAAGUCUCUUCUAUACAAGACUUCAAAUGCAGAAUCCGUUACAGUAGGCAGCCGCGAGCUUGAUCACACAGGUGAACUUUGAUAUGUGCCCUUCUACUGUGGAUGUGUGUUUAAUAAGUUGGAUUGAUUAGGAUGAAGACAAGAUAACUAACAAAUUUUGUCACGUCUCAUUUUUAAUCUUGUCUAGUUUUAUCUAGUCCAACAUGCUGAACAUGUAUCUGUAUUUCUAUUUCAUCCGUAAUACACAACUUGAAUUCAUUAUUUGUUUAACAAAC
Long non-coding RNA from Olea europaea var. sylvestris, 1511 nucleotides. RefSeq lists it as uncharacterized. The transcript has 3 exons. Lineage: Eukaryota; Viridiplantae; Streptophyta; Magnoliopsida; Lamiales; Oleaceae. The record is from RefSeq and is a predicted model, not a curated record.